AGUGAACGCUGGCGGUAGGCCUAACACAUGCAAGUCGAACGGCAGCACAGUAAGAGCUUGCUCUUACGGGUGGCGAGUGGCGGACGGGUGAGGAAUACAUCGGAAUCUACUUUUUCGUGGGGGAUAACGUAGGGAAACUUACGCUAAUACCGCAUACGACCUACGGGUGAAAGCAGGGGAUCUUCGGACCUUACGCGAUUGAAUGAGCCGAUGUCGGAUUAGCUAGUUGGCGGGGUAAAGGCCCACCAAGGCGACGAUCCGUAGCUGGUCUGAGAGGAUGAUAAGCCACACUGGAACUGAGACACGGUCCAGACGCCUACGGGAGGCAGCAGUGGGGAAUAUUGGACAGUGGGCGCAAGCCUGAUCCAGCCAGACCGCGUGGGUGAAGAAGGCCUUCGGGUUGUAAAGCCCUUUUGUUGGGAAAGAAAAGCAGCAGGUUAAUACCCCGCUGUUCUGACGGUACCCAAAGAAUAAGCACCGGCUAACUUCGUG
This 492-nucleotide ribosomal RNA is filed under the name uncultured bacterium. RNAcentral's name for it is "partial 16S ribosomal RNA". It matches the Rfam family "Bacterial small subunit ribosomal RNA", at positions 29 to 507 of the family's 1533-position model. The record is from RNAcentral.